UUGACCUCGGAUCAGGCAGGM
This 21-nucleotide ribosomal RNA is filed under the name Roccella montagnei. Its description in RNAcentral is "partial large subunit ribosomal RNA". Lineage: Eukaryota; Fungi; Ascomycota; Arthoniomycetes; Arthoniales; Roccellaceae. The record is from RNAcentral.